CGGUAUAUUAACUGUGCUAAGGUAGCAUAAUAAUUUGUUUUUUAAUUGAAAACUGGGAUGAAAGAUUAAUUAUUUAAUUAGUUUUUAGGUGAGAAAUCAUUAAUUUUUAGUAAAAGUAAAAAUACUUUUGUAAUUAAAAUAGACGAUAAGACCCUAAAAUCUUUAUUUUAAUAAUUAGAAAUAUUUAAUUAGUAAAAUUUAUUUGGGGUAAAUAUAUUUUAUAGAUAUUGUAAAAUAAAAGUGUGUAGUUUUAGAAUCUUAUUAUUAGGUUAUUUGUAAUAGUUACUUUAGGGAUAACAGCGUGAUUUCUUAUUGAAGAGGGUAUUUAUUAAGAUAUUUGCGACCUCGAUGUUGAAUUAAAAGUUCUGUUUGUAGAAGAAUACAAGUAAGAUGGUUUGUUCAACCUUUUAUUUUUUACAUGAUCU
This 425-nucleotide ribosomal RNA is filed under the name Leucothoe alata. RNAcentral describes it as "partial large subunit ribosomal RNA". Lineage: Eukaryota; Metazoa; Arthropoda; Malacostraca; Amphipoda; Leucothoidae. The record is from RNAcentral.